CCUACGGGAGGCAGCAGUGGGGAAUCUUGCGCAAUGCACGACAGUGUGACGCAGCAACGCCGCGUGGGGGAAGAAGGCCUUCGGGUUGUAAACCUCUUUCAGGAAGGACGAAGCCUCGGCCGCGAAUAGCGGUCCGAGGUGACGGUACUUCCACAAGAAGCCCCGGCUAACUACGUGCCAGCAGCCGCGGUAAUACGUAGGGGGCUAGCGUUGUCUGGAAUCAUUGGGCGUAAAGCGCGCGUAGGCGGCCAGAUAAGUCCGGUGUGAAAGUCACAGGCUCAACCUGUGAAUGCCGCUGGAAACUGUCUGGCUAGAGUCCGGAAGGGGCGAGUGGAAUUCCUGGUGUAGCGGUGAAAUGCGCAGAUAUCAGGAGGAACACCAAUGGCGAAGGCAGCUCGCUGGAACGGUACUGACGCUGAGGCGCGAAAGCGUGGGGAGCGAACAGGAUUAGAUACCCUGGUAGUCCACGCCGUAAACGAUGGGCACUAGGUGUGGGGAGGUGUCGACUCCUCCUCGUGCGACGCGUACGCGAGUAGUGCCGCCGUGGGUAGGUACGGCCGCGAGACGUUAAACGUACGAAGAGUUAGACGGCGNGAGACGNGCGACGGACGACGACGAGGGAGGAGG
This 627-nucleotide ribosomal RNA is filed under the name uncultured bacterium. RNAcentral's name for it is "bacterial SSU rRNA". The stretch from base 1 to 543 matches the Rfam family "Bacterial small subunit ribosomal RNA", at positions 338 to 873 of the family's 1533-position model. The record is from RNAcentral.